AGGGCACCACCAGGAGUGGAGCCUGCGGCUUAAUUUGACUCAACACGGGAAAACUCACCCGGCCCGGACACUGUAAGGAUUGACAGACUGAGAGCUCUUUCUUAAUUCGGUGGGUGGUGGUGCAUGGCCGUUCUUAGUUGGUGGAGCGAUUUGUCUGGUUAAUUCCGAUAACGAACGAGACUCUGGCCUAUUAAAUAGACGAUAUAUUUAAAAGUAUAUCGCGCUUCUUAGAGGGACAAGCGGCGUCUAGCCGCAUGAAAUAGAGCAAUAACAGGUCUGUGAUGCCCUUAGAUGCCCGGGGCUGCACGCGCGCUACACUGAAAGAAUCAGAGUGCGUUUACGCCUAGUUCGGAAGAACCGGGUAACCCAAGUAAAUUCUUUCGUGCUUGGGAUAGGGAAUUGCAAUUAUUUCCCUUAAACGAGGAAUUCCCAGUAAAUGCGGGUCAUUAGCUAGUACUGAUUACGUCCCUGCCCUUUGUACACACCGCCCGUCGCUACUACCGAUUGAAUGGUUUAGUG
Molecule: ribosomal RNA, 519 nt
Filed under: uncultured eukaryote
Lineage: Eukaryota
Description: SSU rRNA
Rfam family: Eukaryotic small subunit ribosomal RNA
Source: RNAcentral